This 30-nucleotide small RNA is filed under the name Bombyx mori (domestic silkworm). RNAcentral's name for it is "ovarian small RNA-17319". Lineage: Eukaryota; Metazoa; Arthropoda; Insecta; Lepidoptera; Bombycidae. The record is from RNAcentral.
GGAGGCCGUCUCCAGGGGCGGGGUGGCCCU